GACGAACGCUGGCGGCGUGCUUAACACAUGCCAGUCGAACGGAAAGGCCCUGCUUGCCGGGUACUCGAGUGGCGAACGGGUGAGUAACACGUGGGUGAUCUGCCCUGCACUUCGGGAUAAGCCUGGGAAACUGGGUCUAAUACCGGAUAGGAGCCAUUUUUCGUGUGAUGGUUGGAAAGUUUUUUCGGUGUAGGGUGAGCUCGCGGCCUAUCAGCUUGUUGGUGGGGUAAUGGCCUACCAAGGCGGCGACGGGUAGCCGGCCUGAGAGGGUGGACGGCCACCAUGGGACUGAGGUACGGCCCAGACUCCUACGGGGGGCAGCAGUGGGGAAUAUUGCACAAUGGGCGCAAGCCUGAUGCAGCGACGCCGCGUGGGGGAUGACGGCCUUCGGGUUGUAAACUCCUUUCGCUAGGGACGAAGCUUUUUGUGACGGUACCUAGAGAAGAAGCACCGGCUAACUACGUG
RNAcentral lists this ribosomal RNA (465 nucleotides) under uncultured bacterium. RNAcentral describes it as "partial 16S ribosomal RNA". It matches the Rfam family "Bacterial small subunit ribosomal RNA", at positions 28 to 507 of the family's 1533-position model. The record is from RNAcentral.